UGGGAAUAUUGCACAAUGGGCGCAAGCCUGAUGCAGCAACGCCGCGUGAGGGAUGACGGCCUUCGGGUUGUAAACCUCUUUUAGCAGGGAAGAAGCGAGAGUGACGGUACCUGCAGAAAAAGCACCGGCUAACUACGUGCCAGCAGCCGCGGUAAUACGUAGGGUGCAAGCGUUAUCCGGGAUUAUUGGGCGUAAAGAGCUCGUAGGCGGUUUGUCGCGUCUGCUGUGAAAACCCGAGGCUCAACCUCGGGCCUGCAGUGGGUACGGGCAGACUAGAGUGCGGUAGGGGAGAUUGGAAUUCCUGGUGUAGCGGUGGAAUGCGCAGAUAUCAGGAGGAACACCGAUGGCGAAGGCAGAUCUCUGGGCCGUAACUGACGCUGAGGAGCGAAAGGGUGGGGAGCAAACAGGCUUAGAUACCCUGGUAGUCCACCCGUAAACGUUGGGAACUAGUUGUGGGGUCCAUUCCACGGAUUCCGUGACGCAGCUAACGCAUUAAC
RNAcentral lists this ribosomal RNA (497 nucleotides) under uncultured Actinomycetes bacterium. RNAcentral describes it as "bacterial SSU rRNA". It matches the Rfam family "Bacterial small subunit ribosomal RNA", at positions 356 to 864 of the family's 1533-position model. Lineage: Bacteria; Bacillati; Actinomycetota; Actinomycetes. The record is from RNAcentral.